This 28-nucleotide non-coding RNA is filed under the name Mus musculus (house mouse). Lineage: Eukaryota; Metazoa; Chordata; Mammalia; Rodentia; Muridae. The record is from RNAcentral.
UGUAUGAGCGUGUGUGAGGAAAGAUGGA